AUUGAACGCUGGCGGAAUGCUUUACACAUGCAAGUCGAACGGCAGCACGGACCUCGGUCUGGUGGCGAGUGGCGAACGGGUGAGUAAUGUAUCGGAACGUGCCCAGUCGUGGGGGAUAACGUAGUGAAAAUUACGCUAAUACCGCAUACGGUCUAUGGAUGAAAGCGGGGGAUCGCAAGACCUCGCGCGAUUGGAGCGGCCGAUAUCAGAUUAGGUAGAUGGUGGGGUAAAGGCCCACCAAGCCAACGAUCUGUAGCUGGUCUGAGAGGACGACCAGUCACACUGGAACUGAGACACGGUCCAGACUCCUACGGGAGGCAGCAGUGGGGAAUUUUGGACAAUGGGCGAAAGCCUGAUCCAGCCAUUCCGCGUGCAGGAUGAAGGCCCUCGGGUUGUAAACUGCUUUUGUACAGAACGAAAAGGUUUCUACUAAUACUAGGAGCUCAUGACGGUACUGUAAGAAUAAGCACCGGCUAACUACGUGCCAGCCGCCGCCGUAA
RNAcentral lists this ribosomal RNA (500 nucleotides) under uncultured bacterium. RNAcentral describes it as "partial 16S ribosomal RNA". It matches the Rfam family "Bacterial small subunit ribosomal RNA", at positions 30 to 523 of the family's 1533-position model. The record is from RNAcentral.